CAGGUUUAACACAUGCAAGUCGAGGGGCAGCAUGGUCUUAGCUUGCUAAGGCCGAUGGCGACCGGCGCACGGGUGAGUAACACGUAUCCAACCUGCCGUCUACUCUCGGACAGCCUUCUGAAAGGAAGAUUAAUACAAGAUGGCAUCAUGAGUCCGCAUGUUCACAUGAUUAAAGGUAUUCCGGUAGACGAUGGGGAUGCGUUCCAUUAGAUAGUAGGCGGGGUAACGGCCCACCUAGUCUUCGAUGGAUAGGGGUUCUGAGAGGAAGGUCCCCCACAUUGGAACUGAGACACGGUCCAAACUCCUACGGGAGGCAGCAGUGAGGAAUAUUGGUCAAUGGGCGAGAGCCUGAACCAGCCAAGUAGCGUGAAGGAUGACUGCCCUAUGGGUUGUAAACUUCUUUUAUAAAGGAAUAAAGUCGGGUAUGGAUACCCGUUUGCAUGUACUUUAUGAAUAAGGAUCGGCUAACUCCGUGCCAGCAGCCGCGGUAAUACGGAGGAUCCGAGCGUUAUCCGGAUUUAUUGGGUUUAAAGGGAGCGUAGAUGGAUGUUUAAGUCAGUUGUGAAAGUUUGCGGCUCAACCGUAAAAUUGCAGUUGAUACUGGAUAUCUUGAGUGCAGUUGAGGCAGGCGGAAUUCGUGGUGUAGCGGUGAAAUGCUUAGAUAUCACGAAGAACUCCGAUUGCGAAGGCAGCCUGCUAAGCUGCAACUGACAUUGAGGCUCGAAAGUGUGGGUAUCAAACAGGAUUAGAUACCCUGGUAGUCCACACGGUAAACGAUGAAUACUCGCUGUUUGCGAUAUACUGCAAGCGGCCAAGCGAAAGCGUUAAGUAUUCCACCUGGGGAGUACGCCGGCAACGGUGAAACUCAAAGGAAUUGACGGGGGCCCGCACAAGCGGAGGAACAUGUGGUUUAAUUCGAUGAUACGCGAGGAACCUUACCCGGGCUUAAAUUGCAGAUGAAUUACGGUGAAAGCCGUAAGCCGCAAGGCAUCUGUGAAGGUGCUGCAUGGUUGUCGUCAGCUCGUGCCGUGAGGUGUCGGCUUAAGUGCCAUAACGAGCGCAACCCUUGUUGUCAGUUACUAACAGGUUCCGCUGAGGACUCUGACAAGACUGCCAUCGUAAGAUGUGAGGAAGGUGGGGAUGACGUCAAAUCAGCACGGCCCUUACGUCCGGGGCUACACACGUGUUACAAUGGGGGGUACAGAGGGCCGCUACCACGCGAGUGGAUGCCAAUCCCCAAAACCUCUCUCAGUUCGGACUGGAGUCUGCAACCCGACUCCACGAAGCUGGAUUCGCUAGUAAUCGCGCAUCAGCCACGGCGCGGUGAAUACGUUCCCGGGCCUUGUACACACCGCCCGUCAAGCCAUGGGAGCCGGGGGUACCUGAAGUGCGUAACCGAGAGGAGCGCCCUAGGGUAAAACUGGUGACUGGGGCUAA
This 1437-nucleotide ribosomal RNA is filed under the name uncultured organism. Its description in RNAcentral is "SSU rRNA". It matches the Rfam family "Bacterial small subunit ribosomal RNA". The record is from RNAcentral.